UUCUGUUUAAGCUGCUGUCGUCCGCAGGGUUUCAGUUUGAAGCAGAUGAACUUGAAGCUGUGAGCCAUAUUUCCUUUUUGCUUUUCUAGUUUGGUCUCAAAACAAAUCUUCUGCUUUGGCCUGUAAGAAAAAUCUAUUUACAGAGCUCACUUUCCCAAAUGUAGUGUAGUGUGACUGAUUGCUAUGGUCCUGUCCAAACCUUUAAGUCACAAACCUGGAGAUGAAGGCAUUCCGUGAUAGACCCUGAACCCCGUGGACUUUUGAGACUAUCGCAGCACAGACAGCCCUUGUACAGGUUCUGCUCCAACCGACAGCUGGCAAUCCUUCUACACUGUGGCUAACUACGCAUUGUGCAGGGAUAUGGGGACCAAAAGACAAGUCGAUCCUUAUGUCAUCUGGAAGACUGAAUUCAAACCUGAACAACCACUGCUUGAAUGGACAGCUGCUAGCAAGCCAUGUAGGUCCUCUGCCCCUCAGUUACCCUUCAAUGAGAGACUGCAAUGAUGCCUACCUGAGUGGCUUGAGGUAAGAGGUUUUCUGUGCCUGACAUAGGAACUUUCAGAUGUGAACUUACACAAGAGUCUGCCAAUGGGCAGGAAACACAAAACAAAACCACAUUGUAUAUAUUGCCCGUGGUCCAUCAUAGAUGUGAGUGUUAAUCAGUAAUUAAAGAAGUGAGCAGGACCUGGAGGUGCAACCAGUUAUAGAGCACAUACUUGGUCUAUGGGAGUUCUGGGUUCAGGAAGAAACUACAGGAGACUCAAAUUCCUACUUGGAUCCUUGAGACUGUGCGAUAGGGCACAGGUUUAUAAACAGUGUUAAACAGCUGAUCGGGCUUUGGCUUUAAUUUAAUGAAUUAAAAAAUUAUGUAAGCAGCUA
Molecule: non-coding RNA, 879 nt
Organism: Rattus norvegicus (Norway rat)
Lineage: Eukaryota; Metazoa; Chordata; Mammalia; Rodentia; Muridae
Source: RefSeq, a predicted model, not a curated record